CAACUCGUAACGGUGGAUGUCUUGGCUCCUACAUCGAUGAAGAACGCAGCAAACUGCGAAACGUAAUGCGAAUUGCAGAACUC
Molecule: ribosomal RNA, 83 nt
Filed under: Sparlingia pertusa
Lineage: Eukaryota; Rhodophyta; Florideophyceae; Rhodymeniales; Rhodymeniaceae
Description: partial 5.8S ribosomal RNA
Rfam family: 5.8S ribosomal RNA
About the family: 5.8S ribosomal RNA (5.8S rRNA) is a component of the large subunit of the eukaryotic ribosome. It is transcribed by RNA polymerase I as part of the 45S precursor that also contains 18S and 28S rRNA. Functionally, it is thought that 5.8S rRNA may be involved in ribosome translocation.
Source: RNAcentral